This 116-nucleotide ribosomal RNA is filed under the name Pteropus alecto (black flying fox). The record is from RNAcentral. Lineage: Eukaryota; Metazoa; Chordata; Mammalia; Chiroptera; Pteropodidae.
GUCUACGGCCAUGCCACCCUGAACAAGCCCAAUGUCUGAUCUCGGAAGAUAAGCAGGGUCGGGCCUGGUUAGUACUAGGAUGGAAGACCACCUAGGAAGACCAGGUGCUGUAGGCA